UACAGAGGUCUCAAGCGUUGUUCGGAUUUAUUGGGCGUAAAGAGCUCGUAGGCGGCUUGUUGCGUCGUCCGUGAAAACCUGUGGCUCAACUACAGGCUUGCGGUCGAUACGGGCGGGCUGGAGUUCGGUAGGGGAGACUGGAAUUCCUGGUGUAGCGGUGAAAUGCGCAGAUAUCAGGAGGAACACCGGUGGCGAAGGCGGGUCUCUGGGCCGAUACUGACGCUGAGGAGCGAAAGCGUGGGGAGCGAACAGG
Molecule: ribosomal RNA, 253 nt
Filed under: uncultured bacterium
Lineage: Bacteria
Description: partial 16S ribosomal RNA
Rfam family: Bacterial small subunit ribosomal RNA
Source: RNAcentral